Molecule: ribosomal RNA, 274 nt
Filed under: uncultured bacterium
Lineage: Bacteria
Description: partial 16S ribosomal RNA
Rfam family: Bacterial small subunit ribosomal RNA
Source: RNAcentral
AUACGGAGGGUGCAAGCGUUAUCCGGAAUCAUUGGGUUUAAAGGGUCCGUAGGCGGACUAUUAAGUCAGAGGUGAAAGCCCAUCGCUCAACGAUGGAACUGCCUUUGAUACUGGUUGACUUGAGUUAUACGGAAGUAGAUAGAAUAAGUAGUGUAGCGGUGAAAUGCAUAGAUAUUACUUAGAAUACCGAUUGCGAAGGCAGUCUACUACGUAUAUACUGACGCUGAGGGACGAAAGCGUGGGGAGCGAACAGGAUUAGAAACCCUAGUAGUCC